GUAGGUGGCAAGCGUUGUCCGGGAAUUAUUGGGGCGUAAAGCGCGCGCAGGCGGUUCUUUAAGUCUGAUGUGAAAGCCCACGGGCUCAACCGUGGAGGGUCAUUGGCAACUGGAGAACUUGAGUACAGAAGAGGAAAGCGGAAUUCCACGUGUAGCGGUGAAAUGCGUAGAGAUGUGGAGGAACACCAGUGGCGAAGGCGGCUUUCUGGUCUGUAACUGACGCUGAGGCGCGAAAGCGUGGGGAGCAAACAGGAUUAGAUACCCUGGUAGUCCACGCCGUAAACGAUGAGUGCUAAGUGUUAGGGGGUUUCCGCCCCUUAGUGCUGCAGCUAACGCAUUAAGCACUCCGCCUGGGGAGUACGGCCGCAAAGGCUG
RNAcentral lists this ribosomal RNA (375 nucleotides) under uncultured organism. Its description in RNAcentral is "partial 16S ribosomal RNA". It matches the Rfam family "Bacterial small subunit ribosomal RNA", at positions 527 to 896 of the family's 1533-position model. The record is from RNAcentral.